RNAcentral lists this ribosomal RNA (447 nucleotides) under uncultured bacterium. Its description in RNAcentral is "bacterial SSU rRNA". It matches the Rfam family "Bacterial small subunit ribosomal RNA", at positions 355 to 825 of the family's 1533-position model. The record is from RNAcentral.
UGGGGAAUAUUGGACAAUGGGCGAAAGCCUGAUCCAGCCAUGCCGCGUGAGUGAUGAAGGCCUUAGGGUUGUAAAGCUCUUUCAGUGGGGAAGAUAAUGACGGUACCCACAGAAGAAGCCCCGGCUAACUUCGUGCCAGCAGCCGCGGUAAUACGAAGGGGGCUAGCGUUGUUCGGAUUUACUGGGCGUAAAGCGCACGUAGGCGGAUCGUUAAGUCGGGGGUGAAAUCCUGGAGCUCAACUCCAGAACUGCCUUCGAUACUGGCGAUCUUGAGUCCGGAAGAGGUGAGUGGAACUCCUAGUGUAGAGGUGAAAUUCGUAGAUAUUAGGAAGAACACCAGUGGCGAAGGCGGCCAACUGGCUCGAUACUGACGCUGAGGUGCGAAAGCGUGGGGAGCAAACAGGAUUAGAUACCCCCGUAGUCCCUGAGCGGGCUGGCAAGGCGCAU